UACGUAGGGUGCGAGCGUUGUCCGGAAUUAUUGGGCGUAAAGGGCUCGUAGGCGGUCUGUUGCGUCAGGAGUGAAAACUCGGGGCUUAACCCCGAGCCUGCUUCUGAUACGGGCAGACUAGAGGUAUGCAGGGGAGAACGGAAUUCCUGGUGUAGCGGUGAAAUGCGCAGAUAUCGGGAAGAACACCCGUGGCGAAGGCGGCUCUCUGGAACGCAACUGACGCUGAGACGCGAAAGCGUGGGGAGCGAACAGG
Molecule: ribosomal RNA, 253 nt
Filed under: uncultured bacterium
Lineage: Bacteria
Description: partial 16S ribosomal RNA
Rfam family: Bacterial small subunit ribosomal RNA
Source: RNAcentral